RNAcentral lists this ribosomal RNA (305 nucleotides) under uncultured bacterium. RNAcentral describes it as "bacterial SSU rRNA". It matches the Rfam family "Bacterial small subunit ribosomal RNA", at positions 334 to 632 of the family's 1533-position model. The record is from RNAcentral.
UUUGCCUACGGGAGGCAGCAGUGGGGAAUAUUGCGCAAUGGGCGAAAGCCUGACGCAGCGACGCCGCGUGAGGGAUGAAGGUCUUCGGAUCGUAAACCUCUGUCAGCAGGGAAGAACGGUCACUGUGCUAAUCAGCAGUGAAUUGACGGUACCUGCAAAGGAAGCACCGGCUAACUCCGUGCCAGCAGCCGCGGUAAUACGGAGGAUGCGAGCGUUAUCCGGAUUUAUUGGGUUUAAAGGGUGCGUAGGCGGUCCGGAAAGUCAGCGGUAAAAGCCCGGGGCUCAACCCCGGCGAGCCGUUGAAA